RNAcentral lists this long non-coding RNA (1292 nucleotides) under Pan troglodytes (chimpanzee). RNAcentral's name for it is "long non-coding RNA NONPTRT006922". Lineage: Eukaryota; Metazoa; Chordata; Mammalia; Primates; Hominidae. The record is from RNAcentral.
CAGGGGUGUGCCCAUCGCUCCCACUCUCCAGCCAAGCUAGGGAAGGGCAGGGCGGGAGAGCGGGAAGCUGGGCCUCUUGCUUUUCUUUCACAUUCCCAGCAUGGUAGAUGGGUGUGGACAUCAAUCCGAAGCCCACUUCCUUUCGAGGGAUCAACAGGAUGUCUCAUCACCGCGCAAAUGCGGCUGCCCCUGUUUAACCCCAUCACAGCCUGGUGCUUCAGGAUCCCUCAAAGUCCAGGGUCAAGGCCCAUUCUCUCCCUGGAUCCUGCCUUCCCUGCUCCACCGGCUCCCUUCUCCAGCCCAACUCCAUUCCUUUCAAAGGGUCUUGUUCCCUGGAGCCUGCCAGCACCGAUCCUGUGUUCCCUAGGAGUCCGGAAGAGAUGUGAGCUUGAAAGAUGGGCAGAAGUGACAAAGGGAGACACAAGGCAGAGAGAGGAGCAGAAGCAGGAAUACAGGACACAGCAGACCCUCGAGCUUGGCGGGACACAGGAUCCUGCUCUGCAACAUCCACUUCCUGCUCCCGAUCUCCCUGAAGGGGCUGCUGCUCGUGGGCCUGCUCUGCACUGUGCUGCAAGUGAGCAGUGCUAAGGGGGCCUCCAGGGGGAAAUAAAGUCACAGCCUGAGCCGGGGAACCGCAGCUCCCACACCAUCAACACCCUCAGAGGGGGCAAGCAGAACCUCUGGCCUCCUAUCAGGUAAUAAGCAGCAAUUGCAGUUCCCCAGGAGACAAGGGCCCUGCAGAGAUGAAAUAUCCCUCAUCCUGGCCUCAGGAAUGCAAUCCCACUCCCAGCUGGCUCUGCACAGCACAGGGAUGCCGAAGGGGCCUCUCUGCCUUCUGCCACCUCUGCCUCAGGAGCAGAUAAAAGAAAGGACAUCCCCCUUGCACACUGAUUCCUUGGAGGCAUCUGCAUCUCACCUUCAUGGAUCCUCCCUCAGGCCUCCUUUCCUUGUGGCUCCAGGAUGACCCUGUCAGAGAUAAUGGACUAUCGUUCAGUUGCAGAGGCCCCAGGGCCCGUCUGGACUUUUCCAUCCCAAGAGGGGCUCAGCUCUAUCCCCUUUGUGCCUGUGACACUCUCCAUCCCCCACCCGGCUCAGAACUGGCACAGCCACCACCAACCACUCCUGAUUCAACCCAAGCUUGGCCCUUUCCACCUCUCAAACUGUGCAACAGCAAAUGCAGGAUGCUCAGCCCUCAUGUGUCAGUCCCCCCAAUUCACUUGUAAUUAAAUAACAACACACCUCUUUUUCUAAUUUUCAAAGGUAUAUCUAUUUCCCCUCAAUAAAGUUGUUAG